RNAcentral lists this ribosomal RNA (278 nucleotides) under Lycosa suzukii. Its description in RNAcentral is "partial 12S ribosomal RNA". Lineage: Eukaryota; Metazoa; Arthropoda; Arachnida; Araneae; Lycosidae. The record is from RNAcentral.
UAAAACCUAUUUAUAAUGGCGGCAUUUUAUCUUAUUAGAGGAACCUAUUUUAUAAUGGACAAUACACAUUAAAUUUCACUUAAAUUAAAAAUUUAUAUAUCGCCAUCUAAAAAACUAAUCUAAUAAUAAUAUUUUCAAUAAUAAAUAAAAAGUUAGGUCAAGGUGUAAUCAAUAUUAAAGCAGUAACGGGUUACAUUAAAAAAUAUUUAAGGAUAAAAAAAUGAAAAUUUUUUUUAAAAAAGGAUUUAAAAGUAUUAUUAAAAUAAUAUUUCAAUAUG